This 262-nucleotide ribosomal RNA is filed under the name uncultured archaeon. RNAcentral's name for it is "partial 16S ribosomal RNA". It matches the Rfam family "Archaeal small subunit ribosomal RNA", at positions 748 to 1008 of the family's 1478-position model. The record is from RNAcentral.
AGGGUGUAAACGCUGCAGACUUGGUGUUGGAAGCCCUUUGGGGGCAUUCAGUGCCGGAGAGAAGUUGUUAAGUCUGCUACUUGGGGAGUACGUCCGCAAGGAUGAAACUUAAAGGAAUUGGCGGGGGGAGCACCGCAACGGGAGGAGCGUGCGGUUUAAUUGGAUUCAACACCGUAAAACUCACCAGGGAAGACUGUUACAUGAAGGCCGAGAUGAAGACUCUGCUAGAUUUUCAGAGAGGAGGUGCAUGGCGUCAGUGACU